Molecule: ribosomal RNA, 497 nt
Filed under: uncultured bacterium
Lineage: Bacteria
Description: partial 16S ribosomal RNA
Rfam family: Bacterial small subunit ribosomal RNA
Source: RNAcentral
GAUGAACGCUGGCGGCGUGCCUAAUACAUGCAAGUCGAGCGAACAGACGAGGAGCUUGCUCCUCUGACGUUAGCGGCGGACGGGUGAGUAACACGUGGAUAACCUACCUAUAAGACUGGGAUAACUUCGGGAAACCGGAGCUAAUACCGGAUAAUAUAUUGAACCGCAUGGUUCAAUAGUGAAAGACGGUUUUGCUGUCACUUAUAGAUGGAUCCGCGCCGCAUUAGCUAGUUGGUAAGGUAACGGCUUACCAAGGCAACGAUGCGUAGCCGACCUGAGAGGGUGAUCGGCCACACUGGAACUGAGACACGGUCCAGACUCCUACGGGAGGCAGCAGUAGGGAAUCUUCCGCAAAGGGCGAAAGCCUGACGGAGCAACGCCGCGUGAGUGAUGAAGUUCUUCGGAUCGUAAAACUCUGUUAUUAGGGAAGAACAAAUGUGUAAGUAACUAUGCACGUCUUGACGGUACCUAAUCAGAAAGCCACGGCUAACUACGUG